This 72-nucleotide transfer RNA is filed under the name Treponema sp. RNAcentral's name for it is "tRNA-Ala". Lineage: Bacteria; Pseudomonadati; Spirochaetota; Spirochaetia; Treponematales; Treponemataceae. The record is from RNAcentral.
GGAUAUAGUUUGAUACAAGGAAUAUGUAGGUUCGCAAUCUAUAGGCCGGGGGUUCGAAUCCCCCAUGCUCCA